GCCGGGCAUGGUGACUCAUGCCUGUAAUCUCAGCACCUUGCGAGGCCAAGGUAGGAGGAUCACUUGAGCCCAGGAGUUCAGGGCUGCAGUGAGCUAUGAUCAGGCCACUGCAUGCCAGCCAGGGCAACAGAGCGAGACCCUAUCUCUA
RNAcentral lists this non-coding RNA (148 nucleotides) under Chlorocebus sabaeus (green monkey). The record is from Rfam by way of RNAcentral. Lineage: Eukaryota; Metazoa; Chordata; Mammalia; Primates; Cercopithecidae.